AGAGGCGCGCGUCGUGCGUGUGCCGCGCGUGUCCGUGCGAUCCCCGCAGGCCCGCGGGUGCUCACAGCUGCCCCGGGGUGCGGGUAGGGCGCUGCUCUGUGUCGGGCACAAACCCAUGUUGUUCCCCCGGCUCCCGAUCACCCCCGCGCGUGCCCUGCGCCAGGCCCGGUGCUGGCACCCGCGUGGGUCUGUCCCUUCCCAGCCCAAAUCUGCGAUGUCUGCAGCGCGGAGCUCCCCACCCGCGGUGUCACUCGUUUCCUCUGCUGGAGGGGGACCAGAGGGUCCACCAAGGACAUCUUGGGGACACCCCGUCCUCCCUGUAUUCCUCCCCGAGAAGGUCCCCACAUGACACACGGUGUCCUCCAGCCUGCGCCGCAGCGAUGGAUUGAACUUUAGUCUCCGAGCAAUUAAGGUGACCUGAAACUGCACUUCAUUAAUGGUUGUUAUGCAAUAAAAACGAUAAAACUGCCCUUA
Molecule: non-coding RNA, 474 nt
Organism: Meleagris gallopavo (turkey)
Lineage: Eukaryota; Metazoa; Chordata; Aves; Galliformes; Phasianidae
Source: RefSeq, a predicted model, not a curated record